RNAcentral lists this ribosomal RNA (403 nucleotides) under uncultured bacterium. RNAcentral describes it as "partial 16S ribosomal RNA". It matches the Rfam family "Bacterial small subunit ribosomal RNA", at positions 28 to 526 of the family's 1533-position model. The record is from RNAcentral.
GACGAACGCUGGCGGCGUGCCUAAUACAUGCAAGUCGAACGCAGUGGGGACGGGUGAGUAACACGUGGGUAACCUCCCAUAAGAGGGGAUAACACUUGGAAACAGGUGCUAAACCGAUACUGAUGGAUGGAGCCGGGGUGGAUUAGCUAGUUGGUGGGGUAACGGCUCACCAAGGCGACGAUGCAUAGCCGACCUGAGAGGAUGAUCAGCCACACUGGAACUGAGACACGGCCCAGACUCCUACGGGAGGCAGCAGUGGGGAAUCUUGGACAAUGGACGAAAGUCUGAUCGAGCAACGCCGCGUGAGUGAAGAAGGUUUUCGGAUCGUAAAGCUCUGUUGGUAGGGAGGCGGUAUCAACACAAUAAGCCACGGCUAACUACGUGCCAGCAGCCGCGGUAAUUC